AGCGGCGGACGGGUGAGUAACACGUAGGUAACCUGCCUAUAAGACUGGGAUAACUCCGGGAAACCGGGGCUAAUACCGGAUAACAUUUUGCACCGCAUGGUGCGAAAUUGAAAGGCGGCUUCGGCUGUCACUUAUAGAUGGACCUGCGGCGCAUUAGCUAGUUGGUGAGGUAACGGCUCACCAAGGCGACGAUGCGUAGCCGACCUGAGAGGGUGAUCGGCCACACUGGGACUGAGACACGGCCCAGACUCCUACGGGAGGCAGCAGUAGGGAAUCUUCCGCAAUGGACGAAAGUCUGACGGAGCAACGCCGCGUGAGCGAUGAAGGCCUUCGGGUCGUAAAGCUCUGUUGUUAGGGAAGAACAAGUGCUAGUUGAAUAAGCUGGCACCUUGACGGUACCUAACCAGAAAGCCACGGCUAACUACGUGCCAGCAGCCGCGGUAAUACGUAGGUGGCAAGCGUUAUCCGGAAUUAUUGGGCGUAAAGCGCGCGCAGGUGGUUUCUUAAGUCUGAUGUGAAAGCCCACGGCUCAACCGUGGAGGGUCAUUGGAAACUGGGAGACUUGAGUGCAGAAGAGGAAAGUGGAAUUCCAUGUGUAGCGGUGAAAUGCGUAGAGAUAUGGAGGAACACCAGUGGCGAAAGCGACUUUCUGGUCUGUAACUGACACUGAGGCGCGAAAGCGUGGGGAGCAAACAGAUUAGAUACCCUGGUAGUCCACGCCGUAACGAUGAGUGCUAACUGUUAGAGGGUUUCCGCCCUUUAGUGCUGAAGUUGAACGCAUUAAUGCACUCCGCCUGGAGGAGUACCGCCCGCAAUUGCUGAAACUCCACACGGAGUUGACGGGCGGGCGCGCUCUCAGCGGUGGAGCAUGUGAGUUUAUUGCGUAGGCGACGUCGAGAAACAUUACUACGUCAUUGACGUCGUCUGGACUACCCUUACAGAUAGGCUGCCCCUCAGUGGCAGACUGAACUGUGGUGCAUGAUGUCGUCAGCUC
Molecule: ribosomal RNA, 994 nt
Filed under: Bacillus sp. (in: firmicutes)
Lineage: Bacteria; Bacillati; Bacillota; Bacilli; Caryophanales; Bacillaceae
Description: bacterial SSU rRNA
Rfam family: Bacterial small subunit ribosomal RNA
Source: RNAcentral